This 334-nucleotide unclassified non-coding RNA is filed under the name soil metagenome. Its description in RNAcentral is "partial contains 5.8S ribosomal RNA, internal transcribed spacer 2, and large subunit ribosomal RNA". The stretch from base 1 to 120 matches the Rfam family "5.8S ribosomal RNA", at positions 35 to 154 of the family's 154-position model. The record is from RNAcentral.
GAUGAAGAACGCAGCGAAAUGCGAUAAGUAAUGUGAAUUGCAGAAUUCAGUGAAUCAUCGAAUCUUUGAACGCACAUUGCGCCCCCCAGUAUUCUGGCGGGCAUGCCUAUUCGAGCGUCAUUUCAACCAUCAAGCCCUGCUUGUGUUGGGGUCCUGCGGCUGCCCGCAGGCCCUGAAAACCAGUGGCGGGCUCGCUAGUCACACCGAGCGCAGUAGCACAUCUCGCUCAGGGCGUGCGGCGGGCUCCAGCCGUUAAAGCACCCACCUUUCGCAAGGUUGACCUCGGAUCAGGUAGGAAUACCCGCUGAACUUAAGCAUAUCAAUAAGCGGAGGA